UGCCAGCAGCCGCGGUAAUACGGAGGGGGCUAGCGUUGUUCGGAUUUACUGGGCGUAAAGUGCACGUAGGCGGCGUAUCUAGUUGGGGGUGAAAGGCCCGGGCUCAACCCGGGAACUGCCUUCAAUACUGAUAUGCUAGAGUUCAACAGAGGGAAUCGGAAUCGGUUGUGUAGCGGUGAAAUGCGUAGAGAUAACCGAGAACACCAGUGGCGAAGGCGGAUUCCUGGGUUGACACUGACGCUGAGGAGCGAAAGCUGGGGGAGCGAACAGGAUUAGAUA
RNAcentral lists this ribosomal RNA (279 nucleotides) under uncultured bacterium. RNAcentral describes it as "partial 16S ribosomal RNA". It matches the Rfam family "Bacterial small subunit ribosomal RNA", at positions 506 to 784 of the family's 1533-position model. The record is from RNAcentral.